CCCGCUCAGAAACUCAAAGGAAUUGACGGGGCCCGCACAAGCGGUGGAGCAUGUGGUUUAAUUCGAUGAUACGCGAGGAACCUUACCUGGGCUCAAAUGUAUGUUUGACGUAUUCUGAAAGGGAUACUUCUUCGGACAAUAUACAAGGUGCUGCAUGGUUGUCGUCAGCUCGUGCCGUGAGGUGUCGGGUUAAGUCCCAUAACGAGCGCAACCCCUAUCAUUAGUUGCCAUCAGGUCAAGCUGGGGACUCUAAUGAAACUGCCUACGCAAGUAGUGAGGAAGGUGGGGAUGACGUCAAAUCAGCACGGCCCUUACGUCCAGGGCUACACACGUGCUACAAUGGCCGAUACAGAGGGCAGCUACCUGGUGACAGGAUGCAAAUCUCCAAAGUCGGUCUCAGUUCGGAUCGGAGUCUGCAACCCGACUCCGUGAAGUUGGAUUCGCUAGUAAUCGCGCAUCAGCCAUGGCGCGGUGAAUACGUUCCCGGGCCUU
RNAcentral lists this ribosomal RNA (492 nucleotides) under uncultured Sphingobacteriales bacterium. RNAcentral describes it as "bacterial SSU rRNA". It matches the Rfam family "Bacterial small subunit ribosomal RNA", at positions 888 to 1382 of the family's 1533-position model. The record is from RNAcentral. Lineage: Bacteria; Pseudomonadati; Bacteroidota; Sphingobacteriia; Sphingobacteriales.